Molecule: ribosomal RNA, 1345 nt
Filed under: metagenome
Description: bacterial LSU rRNA
Rfam family: Bacterial large subunit ribosomal RNA
Source: RNAcentral
UAAGUACGAGACGCUACGGCGUUGAAGCAGUGUAUGUCAGACUUCCAAGAAAAGCUCGCAAUGUCAUAAACAAAUAAUGCCUGUACCAUAACCGACACAGAUGGGUAGGUAGAGUAUACUAAGGGGCGCGAGAUAACUCUCUCUAAGGAACUCGGCAAAAUGUCUCCGUAACUUCGGGAGAAGGAGUGCCUUAUUUUUAUAAGGUUGCAAUAACAAGAUCCAAGCAACUGUUUACCAAAAACACAGGUCUCCGCUAAGUCGUAAGACGAUGUAUGGGGGCUGACGCCUGCCCAGUGCCAGAAGGUUAAAGAAGUUGGUUAGCAAUAGCGAAGCUGAUAACUGAAGCCCUGGUGAACGGCGGCCGUAACUAUAACGGUCCUAAGGUAGCGAAAUUCCUUGUCGGGUAAGUUCCGACCCGCACGAAAGGCGUAAUGAUUUGGAUACUGUCUCGGAGAGGGGCUCGGUGAAAUAGACUUGUCUGUGAAGAUGCGGACUACCUGCACCAGGACAGAAAGACCCUAUGAAGCUUUACUGUAACUUGAAAUUGAAAUUGGACUUUACUUGCGCAGUAUAGGUGGGAGGCGUUGAUUUUAUUCUUGCGGGAAUUUAGGAGCCAUCAGUGAGAUACCACUCUGGUAAUGUUAGAUUUCUAACUUUGUAUCAUAAUCUGGUCAAAGAACAGUUUCAGGCGGGCAGUUUGACUGGGGCGGUCGCCUCCCAAACGGUAACGGAGGCGUACAAAGGUUUCCUCUGAACGUGUAGAAAUCGUAUCUAGAGUGUAAAGGCAUAAGGAAGCUUGACUGUGAGACCUACAAGUCGAGCAGGGACGAAAGUCGGUCUUAGUGAUCUGACGGUGCUGAGUGGAAAGGCCGUCACUCAACGGAUAAAAGUUACUCUAAGGAUAACAGGCUGAUCUCCCCCAAGAGUUCACAUCGACGGGGAGGUUUGGCACCUCGAUGUCGGCUCAUCGCAUCCUGGGGCGGUAGUACGUCCCAAGGGUUGGGCUGUUCGCCCAUGAAAGCGGUACGCGAGCUGGGUUCAGAACGUCGUGAGACAGUUCGGUCCAUAUCCGGUGUAGGCGUUAGAAUAUUGAGAGGAUCCUUCUUUAGUACGAGAGGACCGAGAAGGACAUACCUCUGGUGUACCAGUUAUCGUGCCAACGGUAAACGCUGGGUAGCUAUGUAUGGAAAGGAUAACCGCUGAAAGCAUCUAAGUGGGAAGCCUACCUCAAGAUAAGUAUUCUCAUCACGUAAGUGAGUAAGGUCACGGUAAGACUAACCGUUUGAUAGGCAUCAAGUGUAAAUGUAGUAAUAUAUGAGCUGAGAUGUCCUAACAGACCGAGGAC